AGGCUUGUAGCUCAGAGGAUAAAGAGCGCAUGGUUCCGAACUAUGAAGUCAAGGGUUCAAAUCCCUUCAUGCCUA
Molecule: transfer RNA, 75 nt
Filed under: Coleochaete orbicularis
Lineage: Eukaryota; Viridiplantae; Streptophyta; Coleochaetophyceae; Coleochaetales; Coleochaetaceae
Also listed under: 1 other name
Description: tRNA-Arg
Rfam family: tRNA
About the family: Transfer RNA (tRNA) molecules are approximately 80 nucleotides in length. Their secondary structure includes four short double-helical elements and three loops (D, anti-codon, and T loops).
Source: RNAcentral